AAUCAACGCUGGCGGCGUGCCUAACACAUGCAAGUUGAGCGCUAGAGGGGGCAACCCCAAUAGAGCAGCGAACGGGUGAGUAACGCGUGGGUGAUCUUCCUUCGAGUGGGGAACAACAUCGGGAAACUGGUGCUAAUUCCGCAUAAUACCCUGGGGCCAAGAGCCCCAGGAUCAAAGCCGGGGACCGCAAGGCCUGGCGCUUGAAGAUGAGCCCGCGUUCGAUUAGCUAGUUGGCGGGGUAAUGGCCCACCAAGGCUUCGAUCGAUAGCCGGCCUGAGAGGGCGGACGGCCACACUGGAACUGAGACACGGUCCAGACUCCUACGGGAGGCAGCAGUGGGGAAUUUUUCGCAAUGGGCGCAAGCCUGACGAAGCAACGCCGCGUGGAGGAUGAAGGUCUUCGGAUUGUAAACUCCUGUCACCGGGACGAAUGCACUCGACCUAAUACGUCGGAAUGUUGACGGUACCGGUGGAGGAAGCCACGGCUAACUCUGUGCCAGCAGCC
This 504-nucleotide ribosomal RNA is filed under the name uncultured bacterium. RNAcentral's name for it is "bacterial SSU rRNA". It matches the Rfam family "Bacterial small subunit ribosomal RNA", at positions 32 to 516 of the family's 1533-position model. The record is from RNAcentral.